UUGCCCUAGUAACGGCGAGUGAAGCGGCAACAGCUCAAAUUUGAAAUCUGGCUUCGGCCCGAGUUGUAAUUUGCAGAGGAAGCUUUAGGCGCGGCACCUUCUGAGUCCCCUGGAACGGGGCGCCAUAGAGGGUGAGAGCCCCGUAUAGUUGGAUGCCUAGCCUGUGUAAAGCUCCUUCGACGAGUCGAGUAGUUUGGGAAUGCUGCUCAAAAUGGGAGGUAAAUUUCUUCUAAAGCUAAAUACCGGCCAGAGACCGAUAGCGCACAAGUAGAGUGAUCGAAAGAUGAAAAGCACUUUGAAAAGAGGGUUAAAUAGCACGUGAAAUUGUUGAAAGGGAAGCGCUUGUGACCAGACUUGCGCCGGACGGAUCAUCCGGUGUUCUCACCGGUGCACUCCGCCCGGCUCAGGCCAGCAUCGGUUCUCGCGGGGGGAUAAAGGUCCUGGGAACGUAGCUCCUCCGGGAGUGUUAUAGCCCGGGGCGUAAUGCCCUCGCGGGGACCGAGGUUCGCGCAUCUGCAAGGAUGCUGGCGUAAUGGUCAUCAGCGACCCGUCUUGAAACACGGACCAAGGAGUCAAGGUUUUGCGCGAGUGUUUGGGUGUAAAACCCGCACGCGUAAUGAAAGUGAACGUAGGUGAGAGCUUCGGCGCAUCAUCGACCGAUCCUGAUGUUUUCGGAUGGAUUUGAGUAGGAGCGUUAAGCCUUGGACCCGAAAGAUGGUGAACUAUGCUUGGAUAGGGUGAAGCCAGAGGAAACUCUGGUGGAGGCUCGCAGCGGUUCUGACGUGCAAAUCGAUCGUCAAAUCUGAGCAU
Molecule: ribosomal RNA, 810 nt
Filed under: Chaetomium globosum
Lineage: Eukaryota; Fungi; Ascomycota; Sordariomycetes; Sordariales; Chaetomiaceae
Description: eukaryotic LSU rRNA
Rfam family: Eukaryotic large subunit ribosomal RNA
Source: RNAcentral